GGGGUGAGUAACACGUGGGUAAUCAACCCUCGAUACUGGGAUAGCCCGGGGAAACCCGGAUUAAUACCGGAUGGCCCUUUGGAUCCUCGGAUCUGAAGGAAAAGGUAGCUUCGGCCUCCGAUCGAGGACGAGCCCGCGGCGGAUUAGCUUGUUGGUGAGGUAACGGCCCACCAAGGCGACGAUCCGUAGCUGGUCUGAGAGGACGAUCAGCCACACUGGGACUGAGACACGGCCCAG
RNAcentral lists this ribosomal RNA (237 nucleotides) under uncultured bacterium. RNAcentral's name for it is "partial 16S ribosomal RNA". It matches the Rfam family "Bacterial small subunit ribosomal RNA", at positions 104 to 334 of the family's 1533-position model. The record is from RNAcentral.